Long non-coding RNA from Panicum virgatum (switchgrass), 681 nucleotides. RefSeq lists it as uncharacterized. The transcript is spliced from 2 exons. The record is from RefSeq and is a predicted model, not a curated record. Lineage: Eukaryota; Viridiplantae; Streptophyta; Magnoliopsida; Poales; Poaceae.
ACCUUGAGAGCGAACGUGGAGGUUCCGUUUGUUGGCCAAAUAACAAGAUAAUAGAUGGUAAGAUUUUUUUUAUAUGACAUAGACUAACAAAAAUUGAUGGAAACAAACACCCCAUGCAUUAGGAAGCCGACUAUACCGACAUCUGUAAAUUCCUGUGUAUAGUAGUGUUAUAUUAGUAUUUGACCCCGUAAUUUCAAUGAAGCCAACCCGGUGGUGAGGUCGGCUGGCUUCGCCCGACUCUAAUGUCAACAAUCAUGGCGAUGACAGCACAAUUUGCUGCGUAGUACCAGAAGCAAUAGCCGAUAAUAAAUUACAAGAGAAUAAAGCUGCACAGAUGUACAACGCAUAUGCUGGCCAUGUUGGGUUCAGCAUUAGAAAGACCCACACUAAGAUGCGAGUAGAUAAGACUCUACGUCAAAAAAAUAUAUAGGGGACUACAAGAACGGAUCGAUCCACACUAAGCUUGUAGUUUGCAGUAACAAAGGUCAUCGAGAAACAGAGCCAUCGAAGGGCACUACAAGAACAGAUUGAAAUGCUUGUGUUGAGUCUAGUAUCAGUAGAUAGAGGAUUUGGACAGUUCAUAAACCGACGGGUGCCGGUUUAUGAAGACUUUGCUGAGUAAACCCUUUCUGGAAUGAAACAUUCUUACUGAGUAACUAAAGCAUGAUGCACUGAUGCCUU